Molecule: signal recognition particle RNA, 313 nt
Filed under: Microcebus murinus (gray mouse lemur)
Lineage: Eukaryota; Metazoa; Chordata; Mammalia; Primates; Cheirogaleidae
Description: Metazoan signal recognition particle RNA (ENSMICG00000046826.1)
Rfam family: Metazoan signal recognition particle RNA
About the family: The signal recognition particle (SRP) is a universally conserved ribonucleoprotein. It is involved in the co-translational targeting of proteins to membranes. The eukaryotic SRP consists of a 300-nucleotide 7S RNA and six proteins: SRPs 72, 68, 54, 19, 14, and 9.
Source: RNAcentral
GCCGGGCAUGGUGGCGCAUGCCUGUAGUCCCAGCUACUCGGGAGGCUGAGGCAGGAGGAUCGCUUGAGCCCAGGAGUCUGAGGUUGCUGUGAGCUAGGCUGACGCCACGGCACUCUAGCCUAGGCAAUACAGUCUCAAAAAAAAAAAAAUAUUAGGCAGGUGUGGUGGCACGUGCUUAUAGUCCCAGCUACUCAGGAUGCUUGAGGCGAGAGGAUCUCUUGAGCCCAGGAGUCCAAGGCUGUGGUGUGCCAUGAUCGUGCCUGUGAAUAGCCAGUGCACUCCAGCCUGGACAACAUAGUGAGACCCUAUCUCU